Molecule: ribosomal RNA, 491 nt
Filed under: uncultured bacterium
Lineage: Bacteria
Description: partial 16S ribosomal RNA
Rfam family: Bacterial small subunit ribosomal RNA
Source: RNAcentral
GUGAACGCUGGCGGUAGGCCUAACACAUGCAAGUCGAACGGCAGCACAGUAAGAGCUUGCUCUUACGGGUGGCGAGUGGCGGACGGGUGAGGAAUACAUCGGAAUCUACUUUUUCGUGGGGGAUAACGUAGGGAAACUUACGCUAAUACCGCAUACGACCUACGGGUGAAAGCAGGGGAUCUUCGGACCUUGCGCGAUUGCAUGAGCCGAUGUCGGAUUAGCUAGUUGGCGGGGUAAAGGCCCACCAAGGCGACGAUCCGUAGCUGGUCUGAGAGGAUGAUCGGCCACACUGGAACUGAGACACGGUCCAGACUCCUACGGGAGGCAGCAGUGGGGAAUAUUGGACAAUGGGCGCAAGCCUGAUCCAGCCAUACCGCGUGGGUGAAGAAGGCCUUCGGGUUGUAAAGCCCUUUUGUUGGGAAAGAAAAGCAGCAGGUGAAUACCCCGCUGUUCUGACGGUACCCAAAGAAUAAGCACCGGCUAACUUCGUG